This 257-nucleotide ribosomal RNA is filed under the name uncultured bacterium. RNAcentral describes it as "partial 16S ribosomal RNA". It matches the Rfam family "Bacterial small subunit ribosomal RNA", at positions 524 to 776 of the family's 1533-position model. The record is from RNAcentral.
UACGUAGGGGGGCAAGCGUUGUCCGGAUUUAUUGGGCGUAAAGAGCGUGUAGGCGGCUAUGCAGGUCCGUUGUGAAAAACUCGAGGCUCAACCUCGAGACGCCGAUGGAAACCGCAUGGCUAGAGUCCGGAAGAGGAGAGUGGAAUUCCUGGUGUAGCGGUGAAAUGCGCAGAUAUCAGGAGGAACACCGGUGGCGAAAGGCGGGGUCUCUGGGCAACAACUGACGCUGAGGAGCGAAAGCGUGGGGAGCGAACAGG